GCCACUGCUAUUGGGGUUCGGCUAAGCCAUGCGAGUGGAGGGCGUCCCGCAAGGGAUGGCCCCGCAGACGGCUCAGUAACACGUCGUCAACCCACCUUAGGGUGGGGGACAACCUCGGGAAACUGAGGAUAAUCCCCCAUAGGCGGGGGAGGCUAGAAUGCGCCCCCGCUGAAAGCUCAGGCGCCCUAGGACGGGACGGCGGCCUAUCAGGUAGCCUGGUGGUGUGACG
RNAcentral lists this ribosomal RNA (229 nucleotides) under uncultured archaeon. RNAcentral's name for it is "partial 16S ribosomal RNA". It matches the Rfam family "Archaeal small subunit ribosomal RNA", at positions 23 to 246 of the family's 1478-position model. The record is from RNAcentral.